GACGAACGCUGGCGGCGUGCUUAACACAUGCAAGUCGAACGGAAAGGCCCUGCUCUUGUGGGAUGCUCGUGUGGCGAAAGGGUGAGUAACACGUGAGUGACCUGCCCUUGACUUUGGGAUAACUUCAGGAAACUGGGGCUAAUAUCCGAUAGGAGCUCCUGAUGCAUGGUGGGGGUUGGAAAGUUUCGGCGGUUGGGGAUGGACUGGCGGGUUAUCAGCUUGUUGGUGGGGUAGUGGCUUACCAAGGCUUUGACGGGUAGCCGGACUGAGAGGGUGACCGGCCACAUUGGGACUGAGGUACGGCCCAGACGCCUACUGGAGGCAGCGGUGGGAAUUAGUGCGCAAUGGGCGGAAGCCUGAUGCAGCAACUCCGCGUGCGGGAUGACGGCCUUCGGGUUGUAAACCGCUUUCGCCUGUGACGAAGCGUAAGUGACGGUAAUGGGUAAAGAAGCACCGGCUAACUACGUG
Molecule: ribosomal RNA, 468 nt
Filed under: uncultured bacterium
Lineage: Bacteria
Description: partial 16S ribosomal RNA
Rfam family: Bacterial small subunit ribosomal RNA
Source: RNAcentral